Non-coding RNA from Gossypium raimondii (Peruvian cotton), 107 nucleotides. The record is from Rfam. Lineage: Eukaryota; Viridiplantae; Streptophyta; Magnoliopsida; Malvales; Malvaceae.
AACCCAUUGUGGGGGCACCUUCUCAAUAAAUCCUUGUUUCUCUCUCAUGCAUCAUAUAAAGUCUCUAAAUCAAUCUGCACAAAGGAAGAGAUGUCAUUCCUCAAUUU